RNAcentral lists this long non-coding RNA (247 nucleotides) under Elaeis guineensis (African oil palm). Its description in RNAcentral is "long non-coding RNA (EGUI_LNC036086)". The record is from RNAcentral. Lineage: Eukaryota; Viridiplantae; Streptophyta; Magnoliopsida; Arecales; Arecaceae.
AUUUUUCAUAAAAUAGGAAUCAGCAUAUGUGAUAUGAAAAAGCAUGUUUUAUUAUGAGCAUUGAUUUCAUAUGUCUUAUGAAAAUAGCAUGAUUAUGAAGUAUGAAUUUCAUUAUUUUUUCCAUCUAUAUAUGUAUGUUUUAAGAAAAAAAAUAUAAAGAUUUCAAAGGCUUUCAGAUAGCUAUGAACGAAUCUCUUUGGGAAGGUCGACAUCCGAAGCUAGCAUCCACACAAAACAUGGCCCUGCC